RNAcentral lists this ribosomal RNA (644 nucleotides) under sulfate-reducing bacterium enrichment culture clone 1-3-5-otu1-6. Its description in RNAcentral is "bacterial SSU rRNA". It matches the Rfam family "Bacterial small subunit ribosomal RNA", at positions 87 to 749 of the family's 1533-position model. The record is from RNAcentral.
UGUCUUAUCUUGCGGACGGGUGAGUAACGCGUGAGAAACCUGCCUUUCACAAAGGGAUAGCCUCGGGAAACUGGGAUUAAUACCUUAUGAUACUUCUUUACCGCAUGGUAGAGAAGUCAAAGCGUAAAGCGGUGAAAGAUGGUCUCGCGUCCCAUUAGUUAGUUGGUGAGGUAACGGCUCACCAAGACUGCGAUGGGUAGCCGGCCUGAGAGGGUGAACGGCCACACUGGAACUGAGACACGGUCCAGACUCCUACGGGAGGCAGCAGUGGGGAAUAUUGCACAAUGGAGGAAACUCUGAUGCAGCGACGCCGCGUGAACGAUGAAGGCCUUCGGGUCGUAAAGUUCUGUCCUAGGGGACGAUAAUGACGGUACCCUAGGAGGAAGCCCCGGCUAACUACGUGCCAGCAGCCGCGGUAAUACGUAGGGGGCGAGCGUUGUCCGGAAUUAUUGGGCGUAAAGGGUUCGCAGGCGGUCUUUUAAGUCAGAUGUGAAAGGCUACGGCUCAACCGUGGUAAGCAUUUGAAACUGAAAGACUUGAGUUAAGGAGAGGAAAGUGGAAUUCCUAGUGUAGCGGUGAAAUGCGUAGAUAUUAGGAGGAAUACCAGUGGCGAAGGCGACUUUCUGGACUUAUACUGACGCUGA